ACGGAAAGGCAGGACCCCAGGGCAAUGAGCGGGUGCACAUGCACGCGGGCCACUGCAGAAGAGCACGGGGCCAGGCUGGGCUCCGAGAUGUGUCGGAGGUCCCAGCUACUCGGGAGGAUCACUUGGGCCUGGGAGUUCAAGGCUGCAAUGAGCUGUGAUCACAUCACUGCACUCCAGCUUUGGUGACAGUGUUUUGUUUUGUUUUUUCCUUUUAUUUUUUUUACUUCUGAGAUCCUGUUUAAAAAAAAAAUACGGCGACGAGUAUUUGUUGAGCUGGGAUGUGUGAGCCGGGUGAAGCUGGGUGGCUGACCGGGGGUUCCUGUCGGGGAGGAGAGGUGGACAUCUACACCGUCAAGGUGGAAGACCUGACCUUCACCUCCCCGUUCUGCCUGCAAGUCAAGCGGAAUGACUACGUGCACGCCCUGGUGGCCUACUUCAACAUCGAGUUCACGCGCUGCCACAAGAGGACCGGCUUCUCCACCAGCCCCGAGUCCCCGUACACGCACUGGAAGCAGACGGUGUUCUACAUGGAGGACUACCUGACUGUGAAGACGGGCGAGGAGAUCUUCGGCACCAUCGGCAUGCGGCCCAAUGCCAAGAACAACCGGGACCUGGACUUCACCAUCGACCUGGACUUCAAGGGCCAGCUGUGCGAGCUGUCCUGCUCCACCGACUACCGGAUGCGCUGAGGCCCGGCUCUGCCGCCCUGCACGGGCCCAGGGGCUGAGCGUUCCUAGGUGGUUUCGGGGCUCCCCCUUCCUCUCCCUCCCUCCCGCAGAAGGGGGUUUUAGGGGCCUGGGCUGGGGGGAUGGGGAGGGCACAUCGUGACUGUGUUUUUCAUAACUUAUGUUUUUAUAUGGUUG
RNAcentral lists this small RNA (863 nucleotides) under Pongo abelii (Sumatran orangutan). RNAcentral describes it as "processed transcript". Lineage: Eukaryota; Metazoa; Chordata; Mammalia; Primates; Hominidae. The record is from RNAcentral.